This 254-nucleotide ribosomal RNA is filed under the name uncultured bacterium. RNAcentral describes it as "partial 16S ribosomal RNA". It matches the Rfam family "Bacterial small subunit ribosomal RNA", at positions 524 to 776 of the family's 1533-position model. The record is from RNAcentral.
UACGUAGGGGGCGAGCGUUGUCCGGAUUUAUUGGGCGUAAAGAGCUCGUAGGCGGUUCGAUAAGUCGGACGUGAAAUCUCCACGCUCAACGUGGAGGGGCCGUUCGAUACUGUCGUGACUCGAGUCCGGUAGGGGAGUGUGGAAUUCCCGGUGUAGCGGUGAAAUGCGCAGAGAUCGGGAGGAACACCCGUAGCGAAGGCGGCACUCUGGGCCGGAACUGACGCUGAGGAGCGAAAGCGUGGGGAGCAAACAGG